CCCUUAGAUGUUCUGGGCCGCACGCGCGCUACACUGAUGAAUGCAACGAGCUCUACCCUUGACCGAAAGGCCCGGGUAAACUUGUGAAACUUCAUCGUGAUGGGGAUAGAUUAUCGCAAUUAUUAAUCUUCAACGAGGAAUUCCUAGUAAGCGCGAGUCAUCAGCUCGCGUUGAUUACGUCCCUGCCCUUUGUACACACCGCCCGUCGCUCCUACCGAUUGAAUGGUCCGGUGAAAUCUUCGGAUUGCUGACCAAGAUCCAGCAAUGGAGCUUGGUUGCGAGAAGUUGAUUAAACCUUAUUAUUUAGAGGAAGGAGAAGUCGUAACA
RNAcentral lists this ribosomal RNA (327 nucleotides) under uncultured eukaryote. RNAcentral describes it as "partial 18S ribosomal RNA". It matches the Rfam family "Eukaryotic small subunit ribosomal RNA", at positions 1470 to 1796 of the family's 1831-position model. The record is from RNAcentral.